GCGGGUGUAGCUUAAUGGUAAAGCUCUUGCUUCCCAAGCAAGCGACGCGGGUUCGAUUCCCGUCACCCGCU
RNAcentral lists this transfer RNA (71 nucleotides) under Pseudoglutamicibacter albus. RNAcentral's name for it is "tRNA-Gly". It matches the Rfam family "tRNA". Rfam says of the family: Transfer RNA (tRNA) molecules are approximately 80 nucleotides in length. Their secondary structure includes four short double-helical elements and three loops (D, anti-codon, and T loops). Lineage: Bacteria; Bacillati; Actinomycetota; Actinomycetes; Micrococcales; Micrococcaceae. RNAcentral also lists the same sequence under 2 other names. The record is from RNAcentral.